This 460-nucleotide ribosomal RNA is filed under the name Rhizophagus intraradices. RNAcentral describes it as "SSU rRNA". It matches the Rfam family "Eukaryotic small subunit ribosomal RNA", at positions 548 to 1012 of the family's 1831-position model. Lineage: Eukaryota; Fungi; Glomeromycota; Glomeromycetes; Glomerales; Glomeraceae. The record is from RNAcentral.
UUGGAGGGCAAGUCUGGUGCCAGCAGCCGCGGUAAUUCCAGCUCCAAUAGCGUAUAUUAAAGUUGUUGCAGUUAAAAAGCUCGUAGUUGAAUUUCGGGGUUAGUAGGCUGGUCGUGCCACCGGUAUGUACUGGUCUUACUGAUUCCUCCUUCCUGAUGAACUGUAAUGCCAUUAAUUUGGUGUUGCAGGGAAUCUGGACUGUUACUUUGAAAAAAUUGAGUGUUUAAAGCAGGCUAACGCUUGAAUACAUUAGCAUGGAAUAAUGAAAUAGGACGUUCGAUCCUAUUUUGUUGGUUUCUAGGAUUGACGUAAUGAUUAAUAGGGAUAGGUUGGGGGCAUUAGUAUUCAAUUGUCAGAGGUGAAAUUCUUGGAUUUUAUUGAAGACUAACUACUGCGAAAGCAUUUGCCAAGGAUGUUUCAUUAAUCAAGAACGAAAGUUAGGGGAUCGAAGACGAUCAGA